UAAGUUUGAUGGCGACCGGCGCACGGUGAGUAACACGUAUCCAACCUGCCGAUGACUCGGGGAUAGCCUUUCGAAAGAAAGAUUAAUACCCGAUGGCAUAGUUCUUCCGCAUGGUGGAACUAUUAAAGAAUUUCGGUCAUCGAUGGGGAUGCGUUCCAUUAGGUUGUUGGCGGGGUAACGGCCCACCAAGCCUUCGAUGGAUAGGGGUUCUGAGAGGAAGGUCCCCCACAUUGGAACUGAGACACGGUCCAAACUCCUACGGGAGGCAGCAUG
This 273-nucleotide ribosomal RNA is filed under the name uncultured bacterium. Its description in RNAcentral is "partial 16S ribosomal RNA". It matches the Rfam family "Bacterial small subunit ribosomal RNA", at positions 80 to 353 of the family's 1533-position model. The record is from RNAcentral.